This 377-nucleotide ribosomal RNA is filed under the name uncultured eukaryote. Its description in RNAcentral is "SSU rRNA". It matches the Rfam family "Eukaryotic small subunit ribosomal RNA", at positions 587 to 972 of the family's 1831-position model. The record is from RNAcentral.
AGCUCCAAUAGCGUAUAUUUAAGUUGUUGCAGUUAAAAAGCUCGUAGUUGGAUUUCGGGUGGGUUUUAGCGGUCCGCCUAUGGUGAGUACUGCUAUGGCCUUCCUUACUGUCGGGGACCUGCUUCUGGGCUUCACUGUCCGGGACAGGGAUUCGGCAUGGUUACUUUGAGUAAAUUAGAGUGUUCAAAGCAGGCUUACGCCGGAAUACUUUAGCAUGGAAUAACAUGAUAGGACUCUGCCCUAUUGUGUUGGCCUGUAGGAGUGGAGUAAUGAUUAAGAGGAACAGUCGGGGGCAUUCGUAUUUCAUUGUCAGAGGUGAAAUUCUUGGAUUUAUGAAAGACGAACUACUGCGAAAGCAUUUGCCAAGGAUGUUUUCA